ACCCAAGGUGUCCCUUUCCCCCCCAUUUUUCUCCUAUAUUUUCCCAUUUUUCCCCAUUUUUCCACCCAUUUUUCUCCCUUUCCCCCCCCGUUUUUAAAUUUCCCCCAUUUUGCCCAAUUUCCCCAUUUCUCACCCCAAUUUUUCCAUUUCUCACCCCAAUUUCCCCAUUCCAAGGGUCUCUCCCCGGGCUGUUACAACACCCAAGGUGUCCCUUCCCCCCCCCAAUUUUCUCCUAUAUUUUCCCAUUUUUCACCAUUUUUACAGGUUUUUCCCCCCAUUUUUUCCCCUUUCCCCCCAUUUUUUAAAUUUCCCCCAUUUUUGCCCAAUUUCCCCAUUUCUCACCCCAUUCCCAGGGGCUCAGCCCGGGCUGUUACGACACGUACAACGCCGACAUCGACUGCCAGUGGAUCGACAUCACCGACGUCCCCCCGGGGAACUACAUCCUCAAGGUGGGACAUCGGGGACAUCGGGGACAUUUGGGUACAUUGGGGACAUUGGGGACAGUUGGGGACACUGGGGACAUUGGGGACAUUUGGGGACAUUUGGGGACAUUUGGGGACAUUGGGGACAUUGGGGACAUUGGAGAUCUUGAGGACAUUGGGGACAUUGGGAACAUUUGGGGACAUGGGCAGGAUUGGGGACAUUGGGGACACCGGGGACAUUGGGGGCAUUGGGGACAUUUGGGGACAUUGGGGACAUUGGGGACUUUGGGGGGAUUGGGGACAUUGGGGGAUUUGGGACAUUGGGGAUACUGGGGACAUUUGGGGACAUUGGCAGGAUUUGGAACAUUGGGGACACUGGGGACUGUGGGACAUUGGGGACAUUUGGGACACCUGGGGACAUUGGGGACAUUUGGGACACCUGGGGACACUGGGGACAUUGUGGACACUGGGGACAUUGGGGACACCUGAGGACAUUGGAGACACUGGGGACAACUGGGGACAUUGACGGGAUUGGAGACAUUGUGGACAUUUGUGACAAUGGGGGAUAGAGGACAUUUGGGACAUUGGGGACAUUAGAGGGAUUGGGGACAUUGGGGGG
This 1041-nucleotide long non-coding RNA is filed under the name Chloebia gouldiae (Gouldian finch). RNAcentral describes it as "Erythrura gouldiae (Gouldian finch) lncRNA (ENSEGOG00005018280.1)". The record is from RNAcentral. Lineage: Eukaryota; Metazoa; Chordata; Aves; Passeriformes; Passeridae.